RNAcentral lists this ribosomal RNA (314 nucleotides) under uncultured bacterium. RNAcentral describes it as "bacterial SSU rRNA". It matches the Rfam family "Bacterial small subunit ribosomal RNA", at positions 28 to 334 of the family's 1533-position model. The record is from RNAcentral.
GAUGAACGCUAGCGGCAGGCUUAACACAUGCAAGUCGAGGGGCAGCAUGAGGGUUAGCAAUAACCCUUGAUGGCGACCGGCGCAAGGGUGCGUAACGCGUGAGCAACUUGCCCGUUUCUGGGGAAUAACCGGUGGAAACGCCGACUAAUACCCCAUAGCAUCAGGUUUUGGCAUCAUAAUCUGAUUAAAGAAUUUCGGAAACGGAUAGGCUCGCGUGACAUUAGCUGGAGGGCGGGGUAACGGCCCACCAUGGCGACGAUGUCUAGGGGUUCUGAGAGGAAGGUCCCCCACACUGGAACUGAGACACGGUCCAG